Molecule: ribosomal RNA, 460 nt
Filed under: uncultured bacterium
Lineage: Bacteria
Description: partial 16S ribosomal RNA
Rfam family: Bacterial small subunit ribosomal RNA
Source: RNAcentral
CCUACGGGUGGCAGCAGUGAGGAAUAUUGGUCAAUGGACGAGAGUCUGAACCAGCAAAGUAGCGUGAAGGAUGACUGCCCUAUGGUUUGUAAACUUCUUUUAUAUGGGAAUAAAAUGUUCCACGUGUGGGAUUCUGUAUGUACCAUAUGAAUAAGGAUCCGCUAACUCCGUGCCAGCAGCCGCGGUAAUACGUAGGCUCCGAGCUUUAUCCGGAUGUAUUGGGAUUAAAGGGAGCGUAUGUGGAUUGUUAAGUCAGUUUUGAAAGUUUGCGGCUCAACCGUAAAAUUGCAGUGGAGACUGUCAGUCUUGAGUACAGUAGAGGUGGGCGGAAGUCGUGGUGUAGCGGUGAAAUGCUUAGAUAUCACGAAGAACGCCGAUUGCGAAGGCAGCUCACUGGACUGCAACUGACACUGAGGCUCGAAAGUGUGGGUAUCAAACAGGAUUAGAUACCCGUGUAGUC